UUGAAAGUACACAAGCUAAAACUAUAGUAUUCUCAUUCCAGAAAAUGUUGCAUUUCUUUUUUCUAUCAGUAUAUAAUCAAGGAAUUAUUUCCAUCCCGGAAUUCGACAAAGUACUUCACACAUAGGAGGAGACCAUCUCCACCACUGGAGAGCAGCAGCCACCCGGAGUCAUCCUGCUCCUGCAGUCCCGCUGCACAGCCGAGCCGGUGGAGAGGAGAGGGAAGGUUUUCACAAGUGGAACUGAGGGGGAACUCGAGGGGGGUCAAAUUGUAAAAGCCCAGAGUCGGGUUUACCUGUGAUUAUCGCCUCCACUCUUGUGAACGAUACCAUGGGAUCCCCGUAGAGCAAGCAGUCAGAGCCACGGUUUGAAGUCUGACCUAAAGGAUGGCACCUCCUGCCACCUCAGUGGAACGCUGGUUUGGAAGUUCUGGUCCACCGGCACCACCUACAGCAGCAAACUGGAGAAGUCUCCCAUCCCAGUACUGACCAGGCCCAGCCUUGCUGAGCUUUAGAGACAAGAUGCCGACGGGCUGCAAGGUGGUGAAGUUUCUAAUGCAGGACCGCUGUUGCAGCAGAGGGGUUCCAGGAGAUCUCUCUUUGAGCUGUUUUGUGAUGACGCACACCGCUGUAACGGAAGGUGUCCACCUACCUGUUUUCGCUGGCCCUUCGCCUGUGUUUGCUCAGCGGUGGAAGCCAGAAGGCAGAGUCGGUGACCAGGCAGGUGGAGUACAGUGAGCGCCGCCAGUUCAGCUCCAGUGGCGCAGAGGCAGUAAGUAGCACUGGUCCCCGUCCUGCCCACCGGCGGUUCAGAGACCGUCCCGCGCUCGAACAGCCUGCGACGAGGGUGAGGAAAUCAGCGAGGUGCUGAAGCAGGAUUGUCAGUUUUGCCUUAACGGCGUCACGUUAGGAUGAGCUCCAAGGGAAAAGCAGUACGUGGGCUCCCAGGACUUAAUCAAUGUAAUGCCUUGCAGUCAGUUGCUAUCGCUCUUUGCAAGUGGAGGUGUAUAGUAACACUCCGGUCCAGACCAUUAUGCAUGGACUUCCUCUUCGAUUGGUGCUUUUUGCCAAACACAUCGCAUAUUGUUCUGCUUGUCUCCACCAUCCUUGCUGCUCAUGUGGUCAACAGGGUGGUCUCUCACUGAGCAGGACGUGGCUCCGAUGCUGUUGAGUCCACCUGAAGUGCUCUCAACAUACCAGUGAUGUAAAAGUGUUGUUGUCUUUAUAAGCGGAGCAUAUCGGUUACUUUCUUUGCCAUUUUGAUAGGCUUAACACUGAGCAGGUUAAAUAACCAUAUCACCUGUGCCAGCUCAACACUUUCACCAAUAAAAGUGAUUCCCUGUCAGUGAGGAAUGAAUCAAUAAAUUAAAAUGACACCAAAAAUUUUCAUCGGUAUCCAGAAGCACUGUCUGUUUAAAUUAGACUGACUCUCAAAGACAGACGUACGACAGCAGCUGAUGAUCUGAGUUUGGAACAGCAAAAUCUAAACCACAGUGUUGUUUUAUAAACUAAACUGAGUUUGCAGAGUCUGAUCCUCUUCGUGAGGAAUGCAUCUGUGACUUAAAGAGAGCAUUAAGGCUCAGACAGAAAUGGUUUGCCAAAAGUAUUAAACUUUGACCCUAGUUCUUUUUAUAAACACAGCAGAAUACCAAAAACUGAACUGGCUUGCUCUCCGGUGACGUACUGUAAAAGAUUAUAACUUUCCACUUAUUUGACACUGUUAUGCAGAGUAGCUUACAUUUGUACACAUUUAUAUAUCCGGGCAUUUUCCUGGAGCAGUCUGAGCAAAGCGCCUUGCUCAAGGGUAUGACACCUGUGUUUCACCUUGGAUAUGAACCCACCACCUUCUAGUUACAAUUCUAAAGUCCUCCAGAUUGCUGCCUUUAAGAGACACUUUGCACUUCUGGUAACUGCAUUGCCAUAUGUUGUGUUAUACUGUACUUCUAACAUUUUGAUGUUUCCGACCUCUUAACCCUGUCGUAUCGGGAAGAAGCUGCCCAGUCGUGAAGUUGAAGCCGAUGCCCUACUAACUACCAGAUGGCAGGGGGACUCAAAUUUCCUCCUCUUAAAGAAAUAUAUAUAUAUCUCCAGAAAACAAAUUCUAUGUGUGUUCAUCAGGGUGAAGGAUGUUUAAUCUAUAAGCUUUGUUUAGAAUGUUGUGUACAGUUUUGGUUGCCACCUUGUAGGAAAGAUAUCGCUGCUCUAGAAUCAGUCCAGAGAAGAGCAACCAGAUGCAUUCUUGGGAUCAAGGGGAUGAACUACAGUGACAGGGUGCAGGAGCUGAAUCUCUUUAGUCUUGAACAGGGGCGACUCGGAGUGGAUCUGAUUCCAGUAUUCGACACAAUUCUUCAGAACCAACAGUGGAACAAUGAAGGAAAUGUGUGGCCUGAGGUCACUUCAGGCCAGUCUGUUAGUGGGAGGCUAUAGGUAGUGAUUUUGAAGUAGAACAAUGGUCCGAUUUCUAAAGCGGAUAUUUUAAGACAUUAUCUAGAGAGAAUGUUUUCUGUUUUGGGGUUCAGGGUGACGUUACAGCACCACUUUAGUUUGUAAUUCCAAAAUGCCCCUCACACAAGUGAUAUUUGUCUCCCCCAGCUUUCCACAAAACACAUGUGAUCGACGCCAUAUUACAUUCUCAUAUCGCUUAGACAUCGGAGCUAUUUUUGUGCUCUUCUUUAAAUAGAAAAGUAGCAUGAGUUCCUGCCUUCCUGCAAUGUGCGUCAAAAAGUUGAUUUGAAUGCACGAAAGGUGUUAGAUGAUAGAAGUCCCGAGCGGUAAUGUCCAGUAAUUAAGGAGACAUGUUUGACUGUAGUUGUUUUUCUAAACCGGCCACUCUCUGAUUAGCCACCCUGCAUGCGCCGGUGCUGUCGGGUGUUGGCGUAUCAGGCUGGAAAUUCCCUCCCCAACCCGGUCACUAGUCUCUGAACGCCUGAAAGGAUGUGAUGAAAUGUUUUCUGAGUCAGCUUGUUUGUUGCUGGGUCGAAUACAGCUCGGUGGAAAGCAGGAAAGUGGGUGAAGCCAGGAAGGCUGAGCUAACCGCGCCGUGCCUCCUGCUUGCGCUCGGCCGUGCCGCUGCGCUGCCUGAGCACUCGGGAGCCGUGCGACCGCCCGGCGGCUGGGAGCUGGGUGUGACCGGCUGUCCGGCGGGGGAGCAGGGUGCUGGCAAGAGCUCGUUCAGCGAAAAGCAAGCCUUGCGCCCUGGGCGGCGCAAACAGACGGCUUCGUGUUCCUGGCCUUCUCAGUUGGUUUGGUUCCUUGUCUUCUUUCCUUGCAGCGGCGAUCGAUGCCUCAGACGAGUUGUUCAUCCAGUCUGCAGGGGUCCGCAAGGGUCUGAAAGGGCCUGCGCUUUGUAUCUGCACUUCUGCCACACAACAGCAAGUCUGUCUCUCCCUCGGCGGUGGGGACUGUGCAGUGCAGACCUGGUUUUGCCAUGGUGCCUGGCACGGUAAAGUGCCUGUGACUGUGUGCACUACAGACAAUUCACUUCUAUCAUCCUUACCUGCUAAUUAUUCUCAUCUCACCCCCAACAUGCACUUUGACUGGUCCUGGAUUCUGAGCUUAUUCUCGGACAUCAGUGGGGGUAAAUGAAUGAACUGAACUGACGGGGAAAGUCCGACAACAUGAAGUGGGCCUUGAUGAGUUUGACGUCUUGCCCACACUUGAACGGAGCGCACUGCUGCCGCGACGCCCUGCAGGGUUUCUGCUCUGGGGCUCAAGAUGCAGAACUGCAGCUGCAGCUAGAGCAGGCUUGUGGCUUUUGAGCUCCUUUUGGAAUCCCGCUGAAAUAUUAGCCACGGGAUGAACAGAAGCUGAAAGCCGAGCCUGGCGUGGCUGGGGAGGAGUGGUUUGUUCAGAAGAUCGAAAAGCUUGUUGAUUUCUGAUAAAACGGUGCGUUUUAAUGAGAUUGUCACGGAAAGGUCGGUUCUUGUCACACGGAGCCCUUUUGUUUUGAUGUGGAACACUGCUGUAUUGUCGUACCGUGGCACGAACAAUAGAUAUUCCAGGCGCUGCUUUCCACUCGUUUCUGGAAUGUGGGGGCGCAGUUGUGUAUGCAGGUGGCCCUCUGUUCCCGUUGUUUCCACAGCGGCACUGAUGGAGGGUGACUCUGGGUUGCGGGUUUGCCCACAGAGCCUGGUGCUGCAGUGAUGAGCUGGGGUUCACUCCUGCCUCUGGACGGAAAGCUGCAGGCCUCCCACGGAUGUUUUGCGAUGUGCAUUUCAGUUUUGACUUAGUUGGUGGAUUUCGCACACAGACUCACGUCAGGGUCAGUUUUCCCAGAUGCCAGACUUUGGACUGUGGGAGGGAGAACUGGAGAACCCAGAGGAAGCCCUCACAAAUGUGGGGAGAACUUGCAGACUCCACACAGACAGUACCCAUUGACCCAGUUCUGCGUGACAGCAAAGCUGACCGCUGCGCCACCUUGUUUCGAUCUAAAGAAACGGAUAGACGAUUCCUGGACUUGGAGGGGAUUGGCUUC
This is a non-coding RNA of Lepisosteus oculatus (spotted gar), 4471 nucleotides long. Lineage: Eukaryota; Metazoa; Chordata; Actinopteri; Semionotiformes; Lepisosteidae. The record is from RefSeq and is a predicted model, not a curated record.